This 691-nucleotide ribosomal RNA is filed under the name Methanosarcina mazei. Its description in RNAcentral is "bacterial SSU rRNA". It matches the Rfam family "Archaeal small subunit ribosomal RNA", at positions 151 to 841 of the family's 1478-position model. Lineage: Archaea; Methanobacteriati; Methanobacteriota; Methanomicrobia; Methanosarcinales; Methanosarcinaceae. The record is from RNAcentral.
UCCGGAUAACGCAUAUUUGCUGGAAUGCUUUAUGCGUCAAAAGGAUUCGUCUGCCCAAGGAUGGGUCUGCGGCCUAUCAGGUAGUAGUGGGUGUAAUGUACCUACUAGCCAGCGACGGGUACGGGUUGUGAGAGCAAGAGCCCGGAGAUGGAUUCUGAGACAUGAAUCCAGGCCCUACGGGGCGCAGCAGGCGCGAAAACUUUACAAUGCGGGAAACCGUGAUAAGGGGACACCGAGUGCCAGCAUCAUAUGCUGGCUGUCCGGAUGUGUAAAAUACAUCCGUUAGCAAGGGCCGGGCAAGACCGGUGCCAGCCGCCGCGGUAACACCGGCGGCCCGAGUGGUGAUCGUGAUUAUUGGGUCUAAAGGGUCCGUAGCCGGUUUGGUCAGUCCUCCGGGAAAUCUGAUAGCUCAACUAUUAGGCUUUCGGGGGAUACUGCCAGACUUGGAACCGGGAGAGGUAAGAGGUACUACAGGGGUAGGAGUGAAAUCUUGUAAUCCCUGUGGGACCACCUGUGGCGAAGGCGUCUUACCAGAACGGGUUCGACGGUGAGGGACGAAAGCUGGGGGCACGAACCGGAUUAGAUACCCGGGUAGUCCCAGCCGUAAACGAUGCUCGCUAGGUGUCAGGCAUGGCGCGACCGUGUCUGGUGCCGCAGGGAAGCCGUGAAGCGAGCCACCUGGAAGUACGCC